Molecule: ribosomal RNA, 478 nt
Filed under: uncultured bacterium
Lineage: Bacteria
Description: partial 16S ribosomal RNA
Rfam family: Bacterial small subunit ribosomal RNA
Source: RNAcentral
GAUGAACGCUGGCGGCGUGCCUAACACAUGCAAGUCGAACGGAGUCCAGCCUUUACGACCUUCGGGUCAAAGAGGGGAAGACUGAGUGGCGGACGGGUGAGUAACUCGUGGGCAACCUGGCUCAUAGAGGGGGAUCACUGAGAGAAAUUUCUGCUAAUACCGCAUCAGCACACACUGCCGCAUGGCAGUGGGUGAAAAGAGAAUCGCUAUGUGAUGUAACCGCGUCUGAUUAGUCAGUUGGCAGGGUAAGAGCCUACCAAAGCGACGAUCAGUAGCCGAUCUGAGAGGAUGAACGGCGACAUUGGGACUGGGACACGGCCCAAACUCCUACGGGAGGCAGCAGUGGGGGAUAUUGCACAAUGGGGGGAACCCUGAUGCAGCGACGCCGCGUGAGUGAAGAAGUAUUUCGGUAUGGAAAGCUCUAUCAGCAGGGAAGAUAAUGACAUUACCUGAAGAAGAAGCCCCGGCUAACUACGUG